GGACAAACUGCACACCUUCUCUUUCUUCUUGUCCAUGGCCUCAUUCCCUUCACAUGCAACAGAUUGCUCAGGUGUCUCCUGCUGAGUGGACCCUUCCGUCUUCAUCUUUUUGGGUGUCAUUGAAUUGACCAAAUUUCUCACCCUUUGCACAUCUACAAUGGUCUGGUGUUGCAUGGUGCAGAAAUGAGCACAGGCAUAUUCCAGCAGAGCACCAAAGAUGAAGGUGAAACAGAUGCCAAGAUAGACGUCGAUAGCCUUAAUGAAGCAGUUGGCGUUGGGAAGCGAGGUCCUGGCACCCAUCAUUAGUGUGGUCAUGGUGCGAGCUGGUACGGAGGACUGACUGAUCCAGAAAGACACCCAUGACAGAACCACCAGCAAUGUUGAGGGCACAUAUGUCUCCAGAAUGAAGAACAGCACAUUUCUACGCAAAGCGAAGUAGAGCACUAGCUUCGGGAUACUUGGUGAGGUCCAUGUUGCAGGCAAUGGUUGCUGUUAUGCUGUGGAGAAAAGGAGGAAUAUUGAUUGAACCAUUUCUGUAGGAAGAUGGAAAGCUGCCGGAGAGGGACAGUGGACUGGCUUUAAUCAUACCCCUGCGGAUUGAUCGGCUCUCCAUGAUUAAAGCGGACUCCUCACCAUCCUCAGGCUCUAAGCCCACACAACAUUGUAAACAGAGGCGCUGGAUUCAAACCGACGGCUAAAUGAAUGUUUGACAGCACAGAGACACACAGUUGACACACAUCCUGAAUGAAUAAUAAAUCAAUAUCAACGUCAUUUAACCACAUGGUGACAAAAGAGCUGAACUGGUCAAUCGGGAUUCAUCAGAGAAUCCACCUUCAAUGAGGAGAGAUGGAGUCUGAGGGAAAUGCCACAGAGAACAGCGAACACGGAGCCUCAGCUGGCCUAGAUUAUAUCUUGAAGCAGUUGGAUUUAAUGUCAGAAUUUAUGGACCAUUUGCAAGUGAAGACCCAGCUGCUGCAGUGUAACCUGACCGUGUGCUUCACACACCCUGAAAAAAUGGCGUGCCUCCAGACUGACGUGGAAACCCCAAUGUGGUUAAGCCGUGAACAGACGAUGGAAGACUAAAUAUGUAACUCACAGAAGUACACUUGUAAGGUGGAGUUUACUAUAAUACACUUAAAAAGUACAAUUUAAUAGGCCACAUUAAGACAAAACACUAAAAUCAUUAGGAAUAUUUAAGUUAAAAAAGACAAAUGUAGAGCCUAAGAGUUGAUAAGUAGCCUCUAGCUAACAUUGAGUGUAAGAAUACCUCUUGAUUUUAACAUUGAAAGUGUUUAAAAAUGUAUCUUUAAUUUAAAAAGUGUAGACAGUCCUGUUUGAUUGAAUCAAACUAAAUAUGAUUUAUCAAUUUA
This is a long non-coding RNA of Megalobrama amblycephala (Wuchang bream), 1370 nucleotides long. RefSeq lists it as uncharacterized. Lineage: Eukaryota; Metazoa; Chordata; Actinopteri; Cypriniformes; Xenocyprididae. The transcript is spliced from 8 exons. The record is from RefSeq and is a predicted model, not a curated record.